RNAcentral lists this long non-coding RNA (652 nucleotides) under Homo sapiens (human). RNAcentral describes it as "HSALNT0026380". The record is from RNAcentral. Lineage: Eukaryota; Metazoa; Chordata; Mammalia; Primates; Hominidae.
UGCAGGUUCUACAGGAAGCACGGUGUCUUCCGCUUCUGGGGAGGCCUGAGGAAACUUAGAACCAUGGGGAAAAGCAAAGGGAAAGAAGUCCCAUCUCACAUGGCAGCAGCAGGAGCCAGAAAGAGAGAGGGAAUGUGCCACACACCUCUAAACAACCAGACCUCAUGAGAACUCACUAUCCUGACGACACCACCGAGGAGAUAGUGCUAAACCGUGAGAAAACGCCCCCAGGACGCAAUUCCCCCCUCCAGGCCCCACUUCCAGCGCUGGGGAUUACGUUUUGACAUGAGAUUUCUGCAGAGACGCAGAUCCAAACCAUAUCAAAGUGUGAAGUGAAUCUGGUGGACCACUGUGGGCUUUGAAGAUGGAACAGACCACGUGGAGGGCGUGGAGGGUACAGCACUCUCUGUGAACUGAGAGUGGCCCUGGCUGACAGCCGGUGUGGAAAUAAGGACCUCAGAUCACUGGCAAUAAGAAACUGAAUGCCACAAACAACCUGAGUAUGCCUGAAAGUGGAUUCUUCCCCAGAGCCUUCUUCUAGCACGGGGCCCAGUACACACAUCGCUUUCCCCUUGUGAUAACUAAGGAGAGAACCGGAGACCUCCCCACUUCUGGCCGGACCUCAGCAGAUCCUUACUAUUUUAAAAGAAGC